UCGCUGGCAAAGAGUGUCUUUUGUUUCAGUGCAGUUGAUUGUCACGCCAGACGAGAGUCCCUGCAACAUCGGACGCACUCCCUCACGUGUUGCCCGUGCUGAACACCGCGUGCCAUAGAAGAGCCCCCUCGCUCCCUCUCCAAAAAAAAACACACGGAAAGGAAGACUCGCGCCCUUCGCUGGAGAUACAUUUGAGGCGUUUGGCUGAAUUCAUUGUGACCUCCUCGUUUUAGCUUUCUGUGAGCCACGCGUUGUGCUUGUUGUGGGGUGCUCUCGUCCUGCUGUUGUGCAAAGACAGCGACACAGCGUCGCCUCGUCACUACCCCUUGUCGCUCGAGAACGGCAGCGGCUUAUUUUCCCUUCCCUCAGCCACACCGCUACCGAUCUCCGAUGACGGAGAUUACGUACAGCUACUCGCGGCCGGCCCGCGAGUUUGGCCGCAUGCCGGAGUUUCAGGCGAACGACAGCGAAAUUAUCGUCGACAUUGCACCAAAUGAGGUGAUCAAGGACACUUUCACAUCGCAGAACCCCAAGGAGAGCCAGGUGCAGAAUGUGCCGCAGCUGUCCGAGGCGAGCACGAAUACCGAGUCCGUGCGCAUCAAAAAUCACGCACAAUAUCACGGUGAGGGUGGCUGGCCGCACGCCGUCGACCCGACCGAGUUCGAGGAGAAGAUGAAGUAUUGCAAGAAAGUGGAGCGGGAGGAGGUCUACCUGCAGACGUGCGCGCGACUUGCUGAGCAGUGCGUCGAGUGCUGCGUGAAACAGAACACGGCGAUGGACAUAUACGGCCACUACUUCCCCGAAGCUCCGCCGGAUGAGGAGGAGACGAUGGGGCCUGCAUCGCUGAAGGUCUGGGCGGUGCUGAAGGAUCCAUCCGAGGAGAAACGCACGGCGGCGGCUCUGUCGUGGCAGAACGAGGGCCGCCGGAUUGCCGUGGCCUAUUCACGACUCAAGUUCCAGAGCCAGACGCCGACGAUGAGCACGAACUCGCACAUUUGGGACAUAAUGAACCACAACGAGCCUGUCGAGACGCUCGUCACGCCGUCGCCACUGUGCAGCAUCGAGUACUACUCAAAGGAUCCUCACCUGAUCGCGGGUGGGAGCUGGAACGGUGUCGUGCAGUUCUGGGACACCCGCCAGCCGAACCGGCCGGCCGCCCGCUCCCUCAUCGAGGAGAGCCACAAGGAUCCGGUAUGGGCCCUGAAGUGGCUGCAAAGCAAGUCUGGCGAACUACUAUCCGUCUCCACGGACGGAAACGUCUUUGUGUGGGACUGCCGUCUGCCGGAGAAGCCGAUGACAAUUCAUUCCAUUGCCGAGGACAACUUAGUGCUGCAGCCGCGCAGCAACGACGGCGGCGCCCGGGGCGUCCUCGGCGGCCUGUGCCUCGACUACGACCCGCAGGUGGGUGGGCCGGCCAAGUACAUGAUCGGCACCGAGCAGGGUACGAUCUUGUCGUGCAAUCGCAAGGGCAAGACCCAGCACGAGAAGCUACUGCCGAACACCUUCAACGGCCACCACGGGCCGGUCUACAGCGUGCAGCGCAACCCCGUCUUCUCCAAGUACUUCCUCACCGUCGGCGAUUGGACGGCGCGCUUGUGGUUCGAGGACUUCAAGUUCACGCCCAUGUUUAGCACUUUCUACCACAAGGCAUACUUGACCUGUGGUGUGUGGCACACUGUGCGACCCGGCGUCUUUUUCACGACUCGCAUGGACGGGUACGUGGAUGUGUGGGAUUUGAUGCUGCGCCAGACCACGCCCUCCGUGUCCUUCCAGGUGUCUGACUAUGCCUUGCACACCAUCAAGCCCUCGCAGAGCGGCAACUAUGUCGCCACUGGCGGCAUCGACGGCAAUGUGUCGCUGAUAGAGCUGUCUCCGUCGCUGUGCACGCAGGCUCCAGAUGAGAAGAAUGUCAUCGGCACUCUUUUGGAGAACGAAAGCCUGCGGGACAAGAAUCUUGAUCGAGCCAUGAAGGAGAAGCGUGCGGUGGAGCGUCAGCGUCAGCGUCGCACCACACACCUCUCCGGGAUCACCAGAACGCCGGCGACCGAGGAAGCCGCGCUGGAUGACGUUGCCGCGAAGUACAUUGAGAAGGUGAACGCCGAGAAGGCCGAAGACAUCCACACCCGCGAAGAAACUGAUGCGGUGCGACUCAAGGCCCUGGAGGACCUGGAGGACGGCAUAGAUCUCUACGACUAGUCUGCUGGUAUUGCCCCACCAGCUUGUCUCGUGGUUGUUGUUGCCCGCCCAGGCUAUAAUAAGCAGAUGCCAUAGCGGGCUGAGCCACUGGUGCAGGGGUGCUGGCUGGUGGUGAGAGAAACACCGGAGACUGCCCUGCUGAGAGUGAAAUGACGGCUCUCUUUCUGUUGCUUUUCCCAUUUGAAGGCAGCUCCCGCUCCUUCGCUGCUGCGCAGGAGCUGCAACGCGGUUUUUGUGUGCUGGUUCGUGAUUAAAACCGCGGCGGCGCUGCUUGUGGAGGUCUUGCUUUGCUGGUUAGGAGGCGCCGCUUUGCCCGAUUGUCUUGGCUGGGCCACUCGCCACCCAGUGCCGCGUCCUUUUUUUUUUCAUCCCCGUCCUCACUCGCUGUGUGUAGGCGUGCGCAGACUCGGUGCGAGUCUCCGUCUCUAUCUCUCCCCCUCUACAAGCGGACAUGACGGUGCGCGUUGCUUGUUCAUGUACUAUACACAAUGACGGGGGAAUGCUAAGUGGAGUGGAUGACGGUGGCAAAGAGGGCGCUCGGCAAAGGAGGUGGUGGUGGUGGUGGGGGGGAUGUACAGCGUCUCGGAAUGCAUCGGCCGAAGAGGCUACGUCGACGUGUCGCGUCCCCUCCGCCUUCUUUCUCGUUCGCCUCCCAUCGGCGUUGCCUUUGCUCGCCGUCUCUCUCCUGUGGUUCUUUGAGAUGUACAUAGGUGGCAGUGGCACACAGCGAUAUAUGGUCACACGUAAACUCGCUCAUUCUCUCGGCGGCACGCGCACACACACACACACACACAGACACGCACUAAUAGUGAGUUGAACGCUGGCGUGCCAAUUUGUGCGUGUGUCGUUGUGUGUGGCCCAUCGGUGUGCCUCCGCUCCCCCCGGCCACCCCCUCCUCUUCAUCUCUACAUUUGUCGCAAGCCCUCCCUCAACGAUUUUGUUGUUUUGAUGUGGAUACACAAUAGACACGCAAAUUUAAAAAGAAACUCCCUGAAGUGGGCAACUACGUGUGUCGUGUCGUUUGGUAAAAGGCGAAGCAGCUGCUGCAUGGCGCGGUCGCAGCGGAGCCCACCGUGCCUGUAUCCGUAGGCCUGCGCGGUUGAGGCAGUGGAGCCUGCGCAGUCUGGUGAAAGGCCGACGCGCGUGAGACGGCAAACGUGUACGCUCAUGCUGAGUGAAGGCGUCGUGCACGCUCCAAGGUUUCGGGCAGCAGAAUGGAGUACGACUAUCGUCUCCGGCUGACCGUUGUCGAGUCCCUCGUUUCCUUGCCUUGCAAACCGCGUUUUCGAAAAGCCGUUGCUACUUUAUCAGCGCUGUUUUCCGGUAGGGUUACCACCCUGCUCUCCGCACUGUAGUGCUGGCUUGCCACUGUCCCUCCAUCAUCUCGUUCGGGCAUGCGUCCCAACACUCUCUCCUGACGAUGAACCACGUCAAAACCGACCUGCCACCCACCGUACUCGCACACAAUUCUCAUGUGGUGGCCAG
This 3681-nucleotide unclassified non-coding RNA is filed under the name Leishmania donovani. RNAcentral describes it as "gene:LdHU3.32.1470(CDS-product:dynein_putative)". The record is from RNAcentral. Lineage: Eukaryota; Euglenozoa; Kinetoplastea; Trypanosomatida; Trypanosomatidae.